GAUGAACGCUGGCGGCGUGCUUAACACAUGCAAGUCGAACGGAAAGGCCCAAGCUUGCUUGGGUACUCGAGUGGCGAACGGGUGAGUAACACGUGGGUGAUCUGCCCUGCACUUCGGGAUAAGCCUGGGAAACUGGGUCUAAUACCGGAUAGGACCACAUUUUGGAUGGUGUGGUGGAAAGUUUUUCGGUGUGGGAUGAGCUCGCGGCCUAUCAGCUUGUUGGUGGGGUAAUGGCCUACCAAGGCGUCGACGGGUAGCCGGCCUGGGAGGGUGUACGGCCACAAUGGGCCUGCGAUACGGCCCAGACUCCUACGGGAGGCAGCAGUGGGGAAUAUUGCACAAUGGGCGCAAGCCUGAUGCAGCGACGCCGCGUGGGGGAUGACGGCCUUCGGGUUGUAAACUCCUUUCGCUAGGGACGAAGCGCAAGUGACGGUACCUGGAGAAGAAGCACCGGCUAACUACGUG
Molecule: ribosomal RNA, 465 nt
Filed under: uncultured bacterium
Lineage: Bacteria
Description: partial 16S ribosomal RNA
Rfam family: Bacterial small subunit ribosomal RNA
Source: RNAcentral